GUUUGGGCUUGGAGAUUUCCAGCAUUUCAGUGUGUGCACGUUUGGGUUGGGUUCAGACUGAGAUUCUUCUGUAUAUACUAAUGCACAGUAUAUCCAUCCAUCCAUUUUCUGUACCGCUUAUCCAGGCUCACAGGGAACCUGGAGCCUAUCCCAGGAGGAAUGGGGCACAAGGCAGGGGACAUCCUGGAUGGGGUGCAAGUCCAUUGCAGGGCGCAAUCACACCUACAUUCACAAAUUACGGACACUUUUGGAUAUGCCAAUCAGCCUACAAUGCAUGUCUUCGGACUGGCGGAGGAAACCGGAGUAUCUGGAGGUAACCCCGAAGCACGGGGAGAACAUACAAUCUCCGGUGCGAGGCGAACGUUCUAACCACUAAGCCACCGUGCCCCCCAAUAUACACAGAUUUUUUCCAGCAUUAUUUUGCUGACAGGAUUAGCCUAUAUUUCCCCAUUGCAGCCGUGACCCUAUGUUGCCCUCCAGAAAAUAUUAAUGAACAUUGCUAACACUGCAUACGUCUACUUUGAUGUCAGAGGCACGUAAAAUCUUGGAACUCGACCAGCGCGAGCUCAGUCUUUCUGGCUCAAACUGAAUCUCGGCAGAUUUUGACGUCAGAAUAACCAGAACGAGUCGGAUUCUGCGCCUAGAUCCCCACGUGCUCGCAUUCCUGCUUCUUGUCCCUCCCCCGCUUCCUGUGCCGCUAAGCUCUCCGCGUGCCUCACCAGUGGGGAAUGUUCAGGAGCUCGAACUGCCACACUUCAAAUCACCAGCUGUCAGUCAGACCUAAAUGGAAUAUUAAACAUAUGGAACAUAAUUGCACAACAAGAAAAUACUGACAUCCUACCUUGUUUUGGACUUGUUUUUAGUCUGGAAUAGCCUGCUAGGCUACAGUGGCACAGGAAACGUCUAAACCUUCCACUGACAAACUUCAAUAAUCACGUCAGCCAAAAAUAAAUAUUUUGGAUACAUUUCUGACAAGAUAAUCACAUAAACUAAGCAGAUUCCUUUUUUAUUGUUUUGUUUUUUUUGUUCACUUGCAUCCAUCAUCCACCAAAAGAGAUUUCUUGCCUCACAAGUCAAAACCUGGACUUAUUUAAUGUUAAAAAGGAAUAAAUCUGAGAGCCUUACUAUAAAGAGGUCUGGGGAACUUUGUCUUGCUGAAGAGGUUAUGAAAAAAAGAACAGCAAAUCAGAUACAACAGACCUUGUGUAUAAUUUUAAUAUGAGUUCACUAGUAGAGUGUCUCACGCACACCCGGACUUCGUGAAUCGCCGAAGCUAACCCCCCAUCGCCUGUACUCUUAAAACUCGAAAUUUCAUCAAGUGAGAGUGAGAAGAAUCACACAGUCUGGAGUGUCUGACACACCAUCAGGC
Ictalurus punctatus (channel catfish) is the source of this 1369-nucleotide long non-coding RNA. NCBI's taxonomy places the organism in Eukaryota, Metazoa, Chordata, Actinopteri, Siluriformes, Ictaluridae. The record is from Ensembl.